This is a non-coding RNA of Vicia faba (fava bean), 183 nucleotides long. Lineage: Eukaryota; Viridiplantae; Streptophyta; Magnoliopsida; Fabales; Fabaceae. The record is from the annotation of a GenBank genome assembly.
AUGUUGUCAACCUGCUCUAAAACCUGCAAAAGAACCAGUCCAAAACCAUGUUGUCAAACUGUCCAAAACCUGCAUUGCAGCCCUACUAUACCACACUGCUAUACAAGUCCAAACCUGUCCAAAAUUUGCCCAAAAAUGAACAUACAUCAACCUGCAACAAGAAAGCUAGCGUUAGAAUACUAA